This is a non-coding RNA of Microcebus murinus (gray mouse lemur), 478 nucleotides long. Lineage: Eukaryota; Metazoa; Chordata; Mammalia; Primates; Cheirogaleidae. The record is from RefSeq and is a predicted model, not a curated record.
AGAUAUAGCUACCAUUGCAUGUCAUGUGAGCAAGUUUUACAGAUAACUGUCAUUUGAGAGAACUGAUGGAUUUUUCUUUUCUUUGACAGACUCCAUGACAAUUCAAAAGGUGAAGGGGUUGCUGUCACGUCUUCUCAAAGUCCCUGUGUCAGACCUUCUGUUGGCCUAUGAAAGUCCCAAAAUGCCAGGCAGAGAAAUUGAACUAGAAAAUGACCUACAGUCAUUACAAUUUUAUUCUGUGGAAAAUGGAGAUUGUCUGUUAGCGAGAUGGUAACAACCAGCUAAUAAAAUUUAGAGACUAGACUGCUUAUCAUGUCUGGGGUUCACCGGAAAUAAAUGAUUUUUUGGAACAAUUCUGCCAAAAAAUGAAGUUUUACAACUUGCCCUAAGUAUAAUAAAGGAUGUAUUUUUUGUUGGGAAGAGACCAUUUCUAGGCUUGUAUAUAUAAUAGCAGUAAUAAAGGCCUUGAACCUACUAA